UACAGAGGGUGCGAGCGUUAAUCGGAAUUACUGGGCGUAAAGCGUGCGUAGACGGCUAUCUAAGUCGGGUGUGAAAGCCCCGGGCUCAACCUGGGAAUUGCAUUUGUGACUGCCCGACUAGAGUGUGUCAGAGGGGGGUAGAAUUCCACGUGUAGCAGUGAAAUGCGUAGAGAUGUGGAGGAAUACCGAUGGCGAAGGCAGCCCCCUGGGAUAACACUGACGCUCAUGCACGAAAGCGUGGGGAGCAAACAGG
Molecule: ribosomal RNA, 253 nt
Filed under: uncultured bacterium
Lineage: Bacteria
Description: partial 16S ribosomal RNA
Rfam family: Bacterial small subunit ribosomal RNA
Source: RNAcentral